Rattus norvegicus (Norway rat) is the source of this 127-nucleotide non-coding RNA. Ensembl annotates it as small Cajal body-specific RNA 23. The record is from Ensembl. Lineage: Eukaryota; Metazoa; Chordata; Mammalia; Rodentia; Muridae.
CUGCUCACCAGGGCUCAGUCCUCCUCCUCUUGUGGUCCUGACCUGCCCUCUGUGAGCAAGAGAAUCUGGACUGGUUGGGGGUGUCCUGUCCAAGUGGACACAGGACUCCACGGUUUUCAGUACAACA